RNAcentral lists this ribosomal RNA (373 nucleotides) under uncultured organism. RNAcentral's name for it is "partial 16S ribosomal RNA". It matches the Rfam family "Bacterial small subunit ribosomal RNA", at positions 527 to 896 of the family's 1533-position model. The record is from RNAcentral.
GUAGGUGGCAAGCGCUGUCCGGAAUUAUUGGGCGUAAAGCGCGCGCAGGCGGUUCUUUAAGUCUGAUGUGAAAGCCCACGGCUCAACCGUGGAGGGUCAUUGGAAACUGGAGAACUUGAGUACAGAAGAGGAAAGCGGAAUUCCACGUGUAGCGGUGAAAUGCGUAGAGAUGUGGAGGAACACCAGUGGCGAAGGCGGCUUUCUGGUCUGUAACUGACGCUGAGGCGCGAAAGCGUGGGGGAGCAAACAGGAUUAGAUACCCUGGUAGUCCACGCCGUAAACGAUGAGUGCUAAGUGUUAGGGGGUUUUCCGCCCCGUUAGUGCUGCAGCUAACGCAUUAAGCACUCCGCCUGGGAGUACGGCCGCAAGGCUG